CGGGGCGCUGAAGAGGGCAUUCGGGCGCAUCGGUGACGACACGGCGGCGCGGCUGGAGGCGAAGCUGAAGAGGCAGCGGAUGGCGGAGACCAGGGCGAGCGGAAAGCUUGACCGGCUGAGGUCGAGAGUCGCCAAGGCGCUUCAGGGAUUUAACAAGUGAAAUGGUAUAGGGACAUUCUGUUGGCUGUCAUCGUUUCAUGCUACUUCAAGUUGUUUCUUUUCACAAUGAUGGUUUGGGAGUUUCCAUCAUCUGUUAUAUUCAUCGUUGAAAUGUUUGUUUUCUAGUCAGUGGGAUGCAUAUAUACAUUAGUAACAGUCUUGUUGUUCCGCAGUUUCCAAAAGCCCAUUGUUUCGUGGUCUGCUUACUAGCGCAUGCAGCAAAAUACUUGACCCAGCGAUGGAUCCUUGGAACGACAUGAGCCUACUCGUCCACAUCAUCCUCGAGCUUCAAGCACGGCCCUAAUCUUCGGAUGGACUGUUCUGGUGCUUCUAGAGACGUUUAGGUAUAUUGUGCCCUGAUUGAUGAGCCUUGCCAUUUCCUACCCAGAAAAAAAACCAAAUUAGAGUUGCUUAAUGAUUCAAACAAAGCUGCUUAAUCACGCAACUGAUUUAAUAGUAGGGCUUUAUAUAACGAGAGGGGAGACCAUAUGUCUCUACCAAGAUACUUUUCGUGUACUCAUGUUACAGUGGUUUGGACUUCAUGCUCUAACAAUAUUAUAAAGU
RNA transcript from Zea mays, 723 nucleotides. RefSeq lists it as uncharacterized. The record is from RefSeq and is marked validated. Lineage: Eukaryota; Viridiplantae; Streptophyta; Magnoliopsida; Poales; Poaceae. The transcript has 4 exons.